RNAcentral lists this ribosomal RNA (484 nucleotides) under uncultured bacterium. RNAcentral's name for it is "partial 16S ribosomal RNA". It matches the Rfam family "Bacterial small subunit ribosomal RNA", at positions 30 to 507 of the family's 1533-position model. The record is from RNAcentral.
AUUGAACGCUGGCGGCAGGCCUAACACAUGCAAGUCGAGCGGAUGAAGGGAGCUUGCUCCUGGAUUCAGCGGCGGACGGGUGAGUAAUGCCUAGGAAUCUGCCUGGUAGUGGGGGAUAACGUCCGGAAACGGGCGCUAAUACCGCAUACGUCCUGAGGGAGAAAGUAGGGGAUCUUCGGACCUCACGCUAUCAGAUGAGCCUAGGUCGGAUUAGCUAAUUGGUGGGGUAAAGGCCUACCAAGGCGACGAUCCGUAACUGGUCUGAGAGGAUGAUCAGUCACACUGGAACUGAGACACGGUCCAGACUCCUACGGGAGGCAGCAGUGGGGAAUAUUGGACAAUGGGCGAAAGCCUGAUCCAGCCAUGCCGCGUGUGUGAAGAAGGUCUUCGGAUUGUAAAGCACUUUAAGUUGGGAGGAAGGGCAGUAAGUUAAUACCUUGCUGUUUUGACGUUACCAACAGAAUAAGCACCGGCUAACUUCGUG